Polistes canadensis is the source of this 253-nucleotide long non-coding RNA. RefSeq lists it as uncharacterized. The transcript has 2 exons. Lineage: Eukaryota; Metazoa; Arthropoda; Insecta; Hymenoptera; Vespidae. The record is from RefSeq and is a predicted model, not a curated record.
UAUUGAUGCCGGAAUAAAUCCUGUAGAGUUACCGAGCAAGAAAACAAAUGUUUACGGGGUAAUAUGUUUAAAUGAGUUAGAUAGUAGUGUUCUGAACGAUAAAACUCAACAUGAUGAAUAUAGUCUAUUGGGAUUUUGCCGUGGUUUGCUAUCAAACCGUAUCUCGUUUUUUAUGGGUUUAACUGGUCCAGGCUACACUAUCGAUUCAGCCAGCAUAUCAAGUUCAUUAGCUAUUCAAAAAGCGUACGAAGCU